GCCUGGGUGGCUCAGCCGGGUAAGCGUCUGACUUUGGCUAGGGUCAUGAUCUCACGUUUCGUGGGUUCGAGCCCCGCCUCGGGCG
RNAcentral lists this transfer RNA (85 nucleotides) under Felis catus (domestic cat). It matches the Rfam family "tRNA". Rfam says of the family: Transfer RNA (tRNA) molecules are approximately 80 nucleotides in length. Their secondary structure includes four short double-helical elements and three loops (D, anti-codon, and T loops). Further hydrogen bonds mediate the characteristic L-shaped molecular structure. tRNAs have two regions of fundamental functional importance: the anti-codon, which is responsible for specific mRNA codon recognition, and the 3' end, to which the tRNAs corresponding amino acid is attached (by aminoacyl-tRNA synthetases). tRNAs cope with the degeneracy of the genetic code in two manners: having more than one tRNA (with a specific anti-codon) for a particular amino acid; and 'wobble' base-pairing, i.e. permitting non-standard base-pairing at the 3rd anti-codon position. The record is from Rfam by way of RNAcentral. Lineage: Eukaryota; Metazoa; Chordata; Mammalia; Carnivora; Felidae.